GAUGAAACAUUCCCUCGGCAGUUAACUGCAGCCGGAUUUCAAAUUUCUCGGCAGUUAACUGCCGAGGGGAUA
RNAcentral lists this microRNA precursor (72 nucleotides) under Medicago truncatula (barrel medic). RNAcentral's name for it is "MIR2629 microRNA precursor family". It matches the Rfam family "MIR2629 microRNA precursor family". Lineage: Eukaryota; Viridiplantae; Streptophyta; Magnoliopsida; Fabales; Fabaceae. The record is from Rfam by way of RNAcentral.